ACAAUAAAAUUACCUUCUGAUAGUCUUUCAACUUGGCCAGGAAAAUCAUGUCCUGCAUCAACCAGUGAUUUUCUAACAUCAUGUUUGAGCUGCAAUGCCAACCUUUCUGUAUGAUUAACAUAUAUAGCCAUCGUAAGAAAAAGUAUAGCACAUAUAAAUAAAGAGAGAACAGCGUUAUCGUCCAUACUAAUAUAGAUUAUCCA
Molecule: long non-coding RNA, 203 nt
Filed under: Mytilus galloprovincialis (Mediterranean mussel)
Lineage: Eukaryota; Metazoa; Mollusca; Bivalvia; Mytilida; Mytilidae
Source: RNAcentral